CAUAUCAAUAAGCGGAGGAAAAGAAACUAACAAGGAUUCCCCUAGUAACUGCGAGUGAAGCGGGAAGAGCUCAAAUUUAAAAUCUGGCGAUCUUUCGACCGUCCGAGUUGUAACCUGAAGGAGCGUUUUCCGCGUCGGACCGUGUACAAGUCUCCUGGAACGGAGCGUCAUAGAGGGUGAGAAUCCCGUCCAUGACACGGACGCCCGGUGCUUUGUGAUACGCUCCCGAAGAGUCGCGUUGUUUGGGAAUGCAGCGCAAAAUGGGUGGUAAAUUCCAUCUAAAGCUAAAUAUUGACGAGAGACCGAUAGCGAACAAGUACCGUGAGGGAAAGAUGAAAAGCACUUUGGAAAGAGAGUUAAACAGUACGUGAAAUUGUUGAAAGGGAAACGCUUGAAGUCAGUCGCGUCUUGUGGAACUCAGCCUUGCUUCGGCCUGGUGUACCUUUCACUCGACGGGUCAACAUCAAUUUCGGCCGGUGGACAAGGGCGAGGGGAAUGUAGCGCCGUUUCGACGACGUGUUAUAGCCCCUCGUCGCAUGCACCGGCUGGGAUUGAGGACCGCAGCGCGCCGUUGUGGCCGGGGGUUCGCGCCCCACGUACCGCG
Molecule: ribosomal RNA, 604 nt
Filed under: Fomitiporella sp.
Lineage: Eukaryota; Fungi; Basidiomycota; Agaricomycetes; Hymenochaetales; Hymenochaetaceae
Description: partial large subunit ribosomal RNA
Rfam family: Eukaryotic large subunit ribosomal RNA
Source: RNAcentral